RNAcentral lists this ribosomal RNA (235 nucleotides) under uncultured Candidatus Saccharibacteria bacterium. RNAcentral describes it as "partial 16S ribosomal RNA". It matches the Rfam family "Bacterial small subunit ribosomal RNA", at positions 584 to 818 of the family's 1533-position model. Lineage: Bacteria; Candidatus Saccharimonadota. The record is from RNAcentral.
AAAGUGAAUAGUGAAAUCUGGGGGCUCAACCUCACAGGCUAUUAUUCAAACUCACAAGCUCGAGAGCAGCAGAGGUAACUGGAAUUUCUGAAGUAGGGGUAAUAUCCGUAGAUAUCAGAAGGAACACCAAUGGCGUAGGCAGGUUACUGGGCUGUUUCUGACACUGAGGCACGAAAGCGUGGGAGCGAACCGGAUUAGAUACCCGGGUAGUCCACGCCGUAAACGAUGGAUACUA